UACGGAGGGUGCAAACGUUGCUCGGAAUCAUUGGGCGUAAAGCGCACGUAGGCGGACCAUCAAGUCGGAUGUGAAAUCCCUCGGCUUAACCGAGGACGUGCAUUCGAAACUGAUGGCCUUGAGUACGAAAGAGGAUCGCGGAAUUCCCGGUGUAGAGGUGAAAUUCGUAGAUAUCGGGAGGAACACCAGUGGCGAAGGCGGCGAUCUGGGUCGAUACUGACGCUGAGGUGCGAAAGCGUGGGGAGCAAACAGG
Molecule: ribosomal RNA, 253 nt
Filed under: uncultured bacterium
Lineage: Bacteria
Description: partial 16S ribosomal RNA
Rfam family: Bacterial small subunit ribosomal RNA
Source: RNAcentral